UGAGCCCCUCCCACACCCCAAACCCCUCAUCAACAAUUUUCUUCAACCUGGUUGCCAGAAAAAAAGUUUGAAAACCGCUGAUAUACAUAACACAUAAUAGGAGCCAGGAACUCCAGAUUCUAAUCCUGACUUGCUGUGGGCACUGCAGUGGAUGGGGUUCAGCACAGAUGCCAGGGUGGGUCCGCCUGGGCAGCGCUUAUUACAAGAUCAGGGCCCAAGUCAGUAAUGAGCCAAUAACUGAGCAUGGUGCUAGGAAGCAAUAUGUUGUUACAAGUGUCACGGCAGUUUUGGAGAGGGUGUGUCAACCCCAGUGCUCAAAUUCCCUAUUUGAAUGCUUACAACCUGCCGAAAUUUCCUCUGUGGGUUCAGUUGGUUACAUGCUGCUUACCUUCCGGCCCUAAACCUUGCAACCUUUCUGCAGGCUGUGAAGACAGCAACCCCAGCCCAACUCAAAGAGGAAGAGUUGCAAAGCAUUUGGGGAUGCUUUGGGAUAAAGAUUAUUUAUUUGACCUAGACUAGGGCUUUCCAUGAGCUAGGAGCCUGAGACCACUUUCUCCGUAACUGGACCCAGAGGGGAAAGGAUGUUAUUCAUGGCUAUAGACCUGCAUCUCUAUUUUAAAUUCCCUUUAGCAGGGAUUUUCAUCAUACACCAUCCAUUGAAAGAUUAGGAGUAGUGUUAUUGUUCAUUCUCCCUCCCCGCGCCCCAACAUCUUCACGUGUUUAAUUCACUCUGGGCCAGAUUCUGAGUAGCACCUUAUUCCACAAUUAGCCCAGUUUACAUCAGGGAGGCCACUCAUGAAAUAAGGUGCUACUCAGUGGGGUGAAGGGUAUCUAAAUCCAGCUCUCUGUGUAUACAUCGAAACAGGUGCAUGCACCAGGAAGGGUGAAUAUGAGCAAUUAAUUUCUCACAGCAUAUCCUCAUCAUAGGCCAACAGAACUUAAUAGGGGCAAGUAAAGAGAAACCGUUACCCAUGGACCUCUCCAGGCCAACUGGCACGGGGGAUACAAGAAUACCCUGAUGCAGAUCAUUUUUCCUGUUUUUCAAGAUCAUUUUGAAUUCCAAUCCUUUCCUCCAAAGUGCUUGCAACCCCUCCCAGUGUGCUGUCUUCUGCAAAUUUUAUAAUAGUACUCUCUGUGAUGCCAGCAGACAAGUGCCAACUUAUGCCAAAGUUCCCAUGUGUCUAUUGAAUACUGACAAAUUCAUAGCUGGAAUAAGUCUGGUUUAUCUCGGUUAGUAUUGUUACAAUGGUAUUAGAAUUAUAAGAAUGUGUUUAGACUUUAUUGAAUGCUUGUGAGUUGCUGGAUGCAUUAAUCUCACUUAUAACAUCUGUAUCCGUAUUGCAAGGUAAUGUUUGAGUGGUUGUAUUUCAGCCUCAGGGACUGUGUAAAUCACCAGACAGGAGAGUGGCAUUAACCAGCAUGAAGUGCUGAUCACACCAGGAAAGGUCCAUUGACACACACCAGGAAAGGUUCAUUGUCACACACUGGACUAUUGUGGGAUGUUAAAGAGGACAAAAGAUGUUGGUUGUUCUGCCCUCCGCCCCCCUAAAGACAAGUCAUGCAAAGCGGAUUGCUCCCAUCAGUUGAAUUUGCAGCUCAGAGCACAUGGCAGGAGGGGGGAUAAAAACACCAAAUAGAAGAAACAGGAUCUUUAUGCUGCUUGCACUCUGGGGAGAGGGACAAGGUUUACGAGGCAUAAGCAUGAGAUUCCCAGCUGCUUAGUCUGGGUUAGCUCUAAAGGGCAUAUGAACUUCCUUAUUAUAGAAGUUUCUAUUACCUUUUGAAAACUAAGAUUGUACCUCAUUUGUGUGUAUAUGUUUACCUGCUUUAACUCGGUAAAUAACUCUCAUUUCCUUUUCCUAUUUCAUAAAUCUUUAGAUACUUGAUUGUAGGCUUGGCUAUAAGCAUUGCCUUUGUGUGAGAUCUAAGGUGCAAUUGUAAAUCAAAGUCUGAAACUCGCUUCCCUCCUUAGCCCACCAGCGCCCAGAUUUGUUAAUCUUCCAGGAGACUGUAAAACCCACCUUUCCCCCAGGCAUUGAGCAGGUUGAUGUGCUGGAGCAGUCUCAUUACAUUCUGAUCACUUCGCUGGCUUGGGGAAUAGACACAUCUUCAUUUUUUUAUAUAUUGAAUACUGUUAUUUUAAUCCAUGGAAAGAACCUAGGGUGUAAGAUGAGUACUAAAAAGUUUAAAGAGGUAAAUAAAGGAGUUGGGGAGAGCUGA
Molecule: long non-coding RNA, 2220 nt
Organism: Malaclemys terrapin pileata
Lineage: Eukaryota; Metazoa; Chordata; Testudines; Emydidae
Exons: 2
Source: RefSeq, a predicted model, not a curated record